Molecule: ribosomal RNA, 506 nt
Filed under: uncultured bacterium
Lineage: Bacteria
Description: partial 16S ribosomal RNA
Rfam family: Bacterial small subunit ribosomal RNA
Source: RNAcentral
AGUGAACGCUGGCGGUAGGCCUAACACAUGCAAGUCGAACGGCAGCACAGGAGAGCUUGCUCUCUGGGUGGCGAGUGGCGGACGGGUGAGGAAUACAUCGGAAUCUACUUUUUCGUGGGGGAUAACGUAGGGAAACUUACGCUAAUACCGCAUACGACCUACGGGUGAAAGCAGGGGAUCUUCGGACCUUGCGCGAUUGAAUGAGCCGAUGUCGGAUUAGCUAGUUGGCGGGGUAAAGGCCCACCAAAGCGACGAUCCGUAGCUGGUCUGAGAGGAUGAGCAGCCACACUGGAACUGGGACACGGUCCAGACUCCUACGGGAGGCAGCAGUGGGGAAUAUUGGACAAUGCGCGCAAGCCUGAUCCAGCCAUACCGCGUGGGUGAAGAAGGCCUUCGGGUUGUAAAGCCCUUUUGUUGGGAAAGAAAUCCAGCUGGUUAAUACCCGGUUGGGAUGACGGUACCCAAAGAAUAAGCACCGGCUAACUUCGUGCCAGCAGCCGCAGUAA